RNAcentral lists this ribosomal RNA (462 nucleotides) under uncultured bacterium. RNAcentral describes it as "bacterial SSU rRNA". It matches the Rfam family "Bacterial small subunit ribosomal RNA", at positions 339 to 794 of the family's 1533-position model. The record is from RNAcentral.
GUACGGGAGGCAGCAGUGGGGAAUCUUGCGCAAUGGGCGAAAGCCUGACGCAGCGAUGCCGCGUGAGUGAUGAAGGCCUUCGGGUUGUAAAGCUCUGUGGGGAGAGAAGAAUAAGUCGUCGUGAAUAACGCCGAUGAUGACGGUAUCUCCUUAGCAAGCACCGGCUAACUCUGUGCCAGCAGCCGCGGUAAGACAGAGGGUGCAAACGUUGUUCGGAAUUACUGGGCGUAAAGCGAGUGUAGGCGGUGAGAUAAGUCGGACGUGAAAGCCCGGGGCUCAACCUCGGAAGUGCGCUCGAUACUGUCUCGCUUGAGUGUCGGAGAGGUUGGUGGAAUUCUGGGUGUAGAGGUGAAAUUCGUAGAUAUCCAGAGGAACACCGGUGGCGAAGGCGGCCAACUGGACGACUACUGACGCUGAGACUCGAAAGUGUGGGGAGCAAACAGGAUUAGAUACCCUGGUAGU